GAGACGCUGGCGGCGUGCUUCAUACAUGCAAGUCGAACGAGAAGUUACCUUCGGUAAUGGAAAGUGGCGGACGGGUGAGUAAUGUGUAGAGAAUCUGCCCUAGAGUGGGGGACAACAGUUGGAAACGACUGCUAAUACCGCAUAUGAGCGUAGCUGGAAUGCUAUUCUUGAAAACUUCGGUGCUCUGGGAUGAGUCUGCAUCUGAUUAGGCUAGUUGGCGGUGUAAUGGACCACCAAGGCGACGAUCAGUAGCUGGUUUGAGAGGAUGAUCAGCCACAAUGGGACUGAGACACGGCCCAUACUCCUACGGGAGGCAGCAGUAGGGAAUUUUGCGCAAUGGGCGAAAGCCUGAACCGCAGCAACGCCGCGUGAUUGAAAAGCCCUUCGGGUGUAAAGAUCUGUCAGUAGGGACGAAACUUGACGGUACCUACAGAGGAAGCAUCGGCUAACUCCGUGCCAGCCGCUGC
This 467-nucleotide ribosomal RNA is filed under the name uncultured bacterium. RNAcentral's name for it is "bacterial SSU rRNA". It matches the Rfam family "Bacterial small subunit ribosomal RNA", at positions 32 to 518 of the family's 1533-position model. The record is from RNAcentral.